UACGGAGGGGGCUAGCGUUGUUCGGAAUUACUGGGCGUAAAGCGCACGUAGGCGGCUUUGUAAGUUAGAGGUGAAAGCCCGGGGCUCAACUCCGGAAUUGCCUUUAAGACUGCAUCGCUAGAACGUCGGAGAGGUAAGUGGAAUUCCGAGUGUAGAGGUGAAAUUCGUAGAUAUUCGGAAGAACACCAGUGGCGAAGGCGACUUACUGGACGACUGUUGACGCUGAGGUGCGAAGGCGUGGGGAGCAAACAGG
Molecule: ribosomal RNA, 253 nt
Filed under: uncultured bacterium
Lineage: Bacteria
Description: partial 16S ribosomal RNA
Rfam family: Bacterial small subunit ribosomal RNA
Source: RNAcentral